CCUACGGGUGGCAGCAGUAGGGAAUUUUCGGCAAUGGGGGGAACCCUGACCGAGCAACGCCGCGUGAACGAAGAAGUUAUUCGUAAUGUAAAGUUCUUUUAACAGGGAAGAAAGAGAAAUUUGACGGUACCUGAAGAAUAAGCUCCGGCUAACUACGUGCCAGCCGCGGUAAUAAGGAGGGGGGGUGCGUUAUCCGGAGUUAUUGGGCGAAAGGUGUGGGGAGAUGGCAUAGUAAGUCUUGUGUAAAAAUGCUGGGCUCAACCCAGUAGGGCAAAAGAUACUGCAAAACUAGAGUAUGACAGAGGCAAGUGGAACUAGAUGUGUAGCGGUAAAAUGCGUAAAUAUAUGUAAGAACACCAGUGGCGAAGGCGGCUUGCUGGGUCGAUACUGACAUUGAGGCACGAAAGCGUGGGGAGCGAACAGGAUUAGAUACCCCUGUAGUC
RNAcentral lists this ribosomal RNA (443 nucleotides) under uncultured bacterium. RNAcentral describes it as "partial 16S ribosomal RNA". It matches the Rfam family "Bacterial small subunit ribosomal RNA", at positions 338 to 795 of the family's 1533-position model. The record is from RNAcentral.